GGGGAUGUAGCUCAGCUGGCUAGAGCGCUUGACUGGCAGUCAAGAGGUCGUGGGUUCGAGUCCCAUCUUCUCCACCA
RNAcentral lists this transfer RNA (77 nucleotides) under Alteromonas sp. RNAcentral describes it as "tRNA-Ala". It matches the Rfam family "tRNA". Rfam says of the family: Transfer RNA (tRNA) molecules are approximately 80 nucleotides in length. Their secondary structure includes four short double-helical elements and three loops (D, anti-codon, and T loops). Further hydrogen bonds mediate the characteristic L-shaped molecular structure. tRNAs have two regions of fundamental functional importance: the anti-codon, which is responsible for specific mRNA codon recognition, and the 3' end, to which the tRNAs corresponding amino acid is attached (by aminoacyl-tRNA synthetases). tRNAs cope with the degeneracy of the genetic code in two manners: having more than one tRNA (with a specific anti-codon) for a particular amino acid; and 'wobble' base-pairing, i.e. permitting non-standard base-pairing at the 3rd anti-codon position. The record is from RNAcentral. RNAcentral also lists the same sequence under 4 other names. Lineage: Bacteria; Pseudomonadati; Pseudomonadota; Gammaproteobacteria; Alteromonadales; Alteromonadaceae.